Molecule: long non-coding RNA, 497 nt
Organism: Thunnus maccoyii (southern bluefin tuna)
Lineage: Eukaryota; Metazoa; Chordata; Actinopteri; Scombriformes; Scombridae
Exons: 3
Source: RefSeq, a predicted model, not a curated record
AUAAGGUCCUGAUUGAAGAAGACAUCAUUUGUUCCCCUGCAUCCAUCAUUUAUGAAGAAAACAUUCGUCAGCUGGCUGCAUUGGUUCACCUUCCAGUGAAACAGUGUCCCCACAAAAUAUUGACUGGAUUGUUGUGCCAAAGCCUCCUCCCAUUUGAGUGUAUCAUUCAAGAAAGGUGUACUGCCCUCAGUGUUGAAUGGGUUUGUUCUCAUGGUCAUGUUUUCUGGAGUUGGACCUCACAGCCGACCUUCAAGUUUGGGAUAUUUGCAGAUCUACUGCUGACAUUGAGGCAUUUCAGAGCCACAUUCUGAUGUAUGCCAGCAAACGCUCCGCAUUCUCACCAUAAGUCUACAAAACCAGAGUUCUACUUGCUGCCCUUGACUACAACUUUCAGCUGAACAGACUGCCUAUGCUGUCUAAUGAUGGCAAGAAGAUAUGAGUUUUAUAUGCACACAAGGACAUUACAAUUUACUUCCCAAGAUAGGUCUUGAUUGCAA